UACGUAGGCAGCGAGCGUUGUUCGGAGUUACUGGGCGUAAAGGGUGCGUAGGCGGUUGUUUAAGUUUGGUGUGAAAUCUCCCGGCUCAACUGGGAGGGUGCGCCGAAUACUGAAUAACUAGAGUGCGGGAGAGGAGAGUGGAAUUCCUGGUGUAGCGGUGAAAUGCGUAGAUAUCGGAAGGAACACCUGUGGCGAAAGCGGCUCACUGGACCAUUACUGACGCUGAGGCACGAAAGCUAGGGGAGCAAACAGG
RNAcentral lists this ribosomal RNA (253 nucleotides) under uncultured bacterium. RNAcentral's name for it is "partial 16S ribosomal RNA". It matches the Rfam family "Bacterial small subunit ribosomal RNA", at positions 524 to 776 of the family's 1533-position model. The record is from RNAcentral.